This 61-nucleotide ribosomal RNA is filed under the name Penicillium cordubense. Its description in RNAcentral is "partial 28S ribosomal RNA". It matches the Rfam family "Eukaryotic large subunit ribosomal RNA", at positions 1 to 60 of the family's 3401-position model. Lineage: Eukaryota; Fungi; Ascomycota; Eurotiomycetes; Eurotiales; Aspergillaceae. The record is from RNAcentral.
UUGACCUCGGAUCAGGUAGGGAUACCCGCUGAACUUAAGCAUAUCAAUAAGCGGAGGAAGC